RNAcentral lists this ribosomal RNA (495 nucleotides) under uncultured bacterium. RNAcentral's name for it is "partial 16S ribosomal RNA". It matches the Rfam family "Bacterial small subunit ribosomal RNA", at positions 28 to 507 of the family's 1533-position model. The record is from RNAcentral.
GAUGAACGCUGGCGGCGUGCCUAAUACAUGCAAGUAGAACGCUGAAGGAGGAGCUUGCUCUUCUGGAUGAGUUGCGAACGGGUGAGUAACGCGUAGGUAACCUGCCUGGUAGCGGGGGAUAACUAUUGGAAACGAUAGCUAAUACCGCAUGACAACAGUUAUUGCAUGAUAACUGUUUAAAAGGGGCAACUGCUCCACUACCAGAUGGACCUGCGUUGUAUUAGCUAGUUGGUGAGGUAACGGCUCACCAAGGCGACGAUACAUAGCCGACCUGAGAGGGUGAUCGGCCACACUGGGACUGAGACACGGCCCAGACUCCUACGGGAGGCAGCAGUAGGGAAUCUUCGGCAAUGGACGGAAGUCUGACCGAGCAACGCCGCGUGAGGGAAGAAGGUUUUCGGAUCGUAAAGCUCGGUUGUAAGAGAAGAACGAGUGUGAGAGUGGAAAGUUCACACUGUGACGGUAUCUUACCAGAAAGGGACGGCUAACUACGUG